UUAGCAGUGAUGAGCAGCUAACAUGUAAGAAAAUCUCACUUUGUGUUGGAUCUUCGAUGCAAUUGAAUUGUUACGCUUGGCUUCUGAGCACA
Rosa chinensis is the source of this 92-nucleotide small nucleolar RNA. RefSeq annotates it as small nucleolar RNA R24. The record is from RefSeq and is a predicted model, not a curated record. Lineage: Eukaryota; Viridiplantae; Streptophyta; Magnoliopsida; Rosales; Rosaceae. The transcript has a single exon.